GACUGUCAAGGUAAGUCGCCGCCAGCGACGGGGCAGACGGGACCCGCGCUAAUCCCCCAAGGAAGAGAUCCCCCUCAAGGCCGCCCUCACCGAGCGCCCCAGAGGCUCCGUCCCUUCAGGGCGGGCAUCUUCCCCCUCGCAUCUCUCCCCUCAUGGCGGGCGGCCCCAAGUCGGCACCGUCCGCGGAGUUUGUAUGAUACAGUGGCGUAUGGGUGGAGGUCCCUCCCAGCGGAAAAUGCCAGUGCUCCAUAUGGCACGUCUGGAGUCCUCUGUCCCCAGUGAGCCGCACGCUGGUCUUUGCGGCCUGUCUGCUUUUCUGAAGAGGCUGCCGCUCUAUGGCCAUAUGCAUAAACUACAGGUUUAGUUCCACAAUAAAUUGUUUUUGAGGAGUUUCUGGGAAUGUGCGAUAGAAUAUCUGGGCUUCGUGUUCUGCAAUGAGAAUAUGAUUACUUUAAAGAGGAUAAAGGAAAAGACUACCAUUUCAC
Molecule: long non-coding RNA, 485 nt
Organism: Neopsephotus bourkii (Bourke's parrot)
Lineage: Eukaryota; Metazoa; Chordata; Aves; Psittaciformes; Psittacidae
Exons: 3
Source: RefSeq, a predicted model, not a curated record